RNAcentral lists this ribosomal RNA (1418 nucleotides) under Clostridioides difficile. Its description in RNAcentral is "partial 23S ribosomal RNA". It matches the Rfam family "Bacterial large subunit ribosomal RNA", at positions 1477 to 2907 of the family's 2925-position model. Lineage: Bacteria; Bacillati; Bacillota; Clostridia; Peptostreptococcales; Peptostreptococcaceae. The record is from RNAcentral.
GUAGGAUAAGCUAAGCACACUGUUGGUUAUGUGUGCCCAAGCAUUGAGGCAGUCAAAGUAGGCAAAUCCGCUUUGAUAAUGCUGGGAUGUGAUGGGGAGCGAAAUUUAGUAGCGAAGUAGCUGAUUUCACACUGUCAAGAAAAGUCUCUAUCGAGGUUAAAGGUACCCGUACCGCAAACCGACACAGGUGGGUGAGGAGAGUAUCCUAAGGCCAGCGAGAGAACUGUUGUUAAGGAACUCGGCAAAAUGACCCCGUAACUUAGGGAUAAGGGGUGCCACCAUCAGGUGGCCGCAGAGAAUAGGCCCAAGCGACUGUUUACCAAAAACAUAGGUUUCUGCUAAGUCGCAAGACGAUGUAUAGGAGCUGACGCCUGCCCGGUGCUGGAAGGUUAAGGGGAUCUGUUAGAGCAAUCGAAGCAGUGAACUUAAGCCCCAGUAAACGGCGGCCGUAACUAUAACGGUCCUAAGGUAGCGAAAUUCCUUGUCGGGUAAGUUCCGACCCGCACGAAAGGCGUAACGAUUUGGGCACUGUCUCAACAACAGACUCGGUGAAAUUGUAAUUCCGGUGAAGAUGCCGGAUACCUGCGACAGGACGGAAAGACCCCAUGGAGCUUUACUGUAGCUUGACAUUGGGUCUUGGUACUACAUGUACAGGAUAGGUGGGAGGCUUUGAAACCAGGACGCCAGUUUUGGCGGAGCCAUCCUUGGGAUACCACCCUUGUAGUACUGGGACUCUAACCAUAGGCCAUGAAUCUGGUCUUGGGACACUGUCAGGUGGGCAGUUUGACUGGGGCGGUCGCCUCCCAAAAGGUAACGGAGGCGCUCAAAGGUUCUCUCAGUACGGUCGGAAAUCGUACGUAGAGUGUAAAGGCAAAAGAGAGCUUGAUUGCAAGACAUACAGGUCGAGCAAGGAUGAAAAUCGGACUUAGUGAUCCGGUGGUUCUGCGUGGAAGGGCCAUCGCUCAACGGAUAAAAGCUACCCUGGGGAUAACAGGCUUAUCUCCCCCAAGAGUCCACAUCGACGGGGAGGUUUGGCACCUCGAUGUCGGCUCAUCACAUCCUGGGGCUGUAGUAGGUCCCAAGGGUUGGGCUGUUCGCCCAUUAAAGUGGUACGCGAGCUGGGUUCAGAACGUCGUGAGACAGUUCGGUCCCUAUCCGUCGCAGGCGUAGGAAAUUUGAGAAGACCUGUCCUUAGUACGAGAGGACCGGGAUGGACGUACCUCUGGUGUACCAGUUGUCCUGCCAAGGGCAUGGCUGGGUAGCUAUGUACGGAAUGGAUAAGCGCUGAAAGCAUCUAAGCGCGAAGCCAACUUCAAGAUAAGAUUUCCCACCGCAAGGGUAAGACCCCAGAAAGACUAUCUGGUUGAUAGGUCGAAGGUGUAAGUGCAGCAAUGUAUUUAGCUUAUCGAUACUAAUAG